RNAcentral lists this ribosomal RNA (460 nucleotides) under uncultured bacterium. RNAcentral's name for it is "partial 16S ribosomal RNA". It matches the Rfam family "Bacterial small subunit ribosomal RNA", at positions 338 to 795 of the family's 1533-position model. The record is from RNAcentral.
CCUACGGGAGGCAGCAGUGAGGAAUAUUGGUCAAUGGGCGCGAGCCUGAACCAGCCAAGUAGCGUGAAGGAUGACUGCCCUACGGGUUGUAAACUUCUUUUAUAUAGGAAUAAAGCAAGGUAUGUAUACCCUCUUGUAUGUACUAUAUGAAUAAGGAUCGGCUAACUCCGUGCCAGCAGCAGCGGUAAUACGGAGGAUCCGAGCGUUAUCCGGAUUUAUUGGGUUUAAAGGGAGCGUAGAUGGGUUGUUAAGUCAGUUGUGAAAGUUUGCGGCUCAACCGUAAAAUUGCAAUUGAAACUGGCAGUCUUGAGUACAGUUGAGGUGGGCGGAAUUCGUGGUGUAGCGGUGAAAUGCUUAGAUAUCACGAAGAACUCCGAUUGCGAAGGCAGCUUACUAGACUGCCACUGACAUUGAUGCUCGAAAGUGUGGGUAUCAAACAGGAUUAGAUACCCCAGUAGUC